Molecule: long non-coding RNA, 2099 nt
Filed under: Erythranthe guttata (spotted monkey flower)
Lineage: Eukaryota; Viridiplantae; Streptophyta; Magnoliopsida; Lamiales; Phrymaceae
Description: long non-coding RNA (EGUT_LNC001299)
Source: RNAcentral
UGACCGCCGCCUGCCCCUGCAGUGUUGUGAAAUCCCAUGUCCCGGGCAAUGAAUCUCUUGCCGUGGACAGCUGCAUAUAUGAGAUACACACACGUGCGGUAAGAAAACAAAACCAAGAAAGAUGAAUUGGUAAGAAGAAUAAAAAAUGGUGACUGUAGUUACCAAAGGUAGCAGUCAUUGUGGUUGUGAUUCCUAAACUAUUGCUGCGGUUGCCAGAAACGAUGGUUUUGUCCAUUCCGUCACCGUACAUUAAGACAUUCCAUUUAUCCUUUGCAACAUUCACAUUUUCACGAUAGAGUCCUUCCUUGACAUAGAUAACAAAUCUAUUCUUACUUCUUGCAGGCACAGCUUUGAUGGCUUCGGUUAUCGUCUCGUAGUCCCCUGAACCAUCUUCUGCCACCACAGCAUUGACUUUGAUCCUUCUCUCCUUCACCAGUUUCCAGUACUUGGAAGACAACCAAGUGGGCUCGGAAUCACUAGUAAGUUCACUCGACUUUUCUAUUUCAUCGACCAUUGAGGAUGGUUCUUGUGAGCUCAUGUAUUCAUCGAUCUUGCUUAUUAUGGCAAGGCUAGUAGUAACAAGUUUAGUAGAUUUGUCCAAAUUUUCAGCUACAACUUUUCUUACCUCAUCCGGUGCGUAUUCGAAGCCAUCCAUGCACGUAUUCAGAUCCGAACCGGCAGCACUUAGUAAUGUUCGAAACUCGGUUCGUGUCUCGUACGUUGUUAGGACACUAGUACUUGUAGGUAAUGACCCUUUGAGAUUGUACAAUGCUAGUGAAAGAAAAUUACGACAACUUUUCAUCGCAGACAGCAAAAUCUUUUCGUUGGUAUUUUCUAAUAUUUGAGUCAAUUUCCCGUCGGUGGAGAAUUUUUUGUAGACCAUCGAGACCUCGUUUAUGGACACUUGGACAGAUAAGUUGUAAAAGAGGCGAGUGUCGUAGUUAUUUUUGGAGUCGAUUAGAGGAGAGAGAUUAUCGUAGCAAGUGUUUGGGUGUAGGGUCGUAUCGCAUAGGACACUGAGUGUGGUGAAGAGAGUCUUGUCUAAUUUGCUUUGAGAUAAACCAAAGGAAAAUGCAAACGUAAACACCAACAUUAUUUUGUUUACGAAACAAAAGAAAUUUGGAGAGCCCAUGAUUCAAGAAUGCUUCUCUAUGAUAUUGUUCAGAACCUACUCAAUUCGAAUGAUGCAGGAAGUGAACCUAGUUUUAUAUUCAUGUAGUUCGAAUAAUUAGGAAAUUCACUUUUAGUAUUGCAAAUCCAUAAACAGUAAACGAAAAUCUUACAUGAUUAACCAUAUUCAGAAUGAGACAAUCCCUAUUAAUGGCUUUUAGGCAAUCACAAUAUUCUGUUUUACCAUUAUAGCAUAUUCUCAGCAUACCCAUUAAUUGGUUUUAACCAAAUAUUAGAUUAACCUAUUAUUAUAAUUGGUAUGCUUAGUUUAGUGUAAGCCUCGUUUUUUUGGGGCAAGGAUUAAAAAAAGACCGGCACAAUAGUAAAUGCACUUGGUUUUACUCCAAAGAAGAUAAAUAUAAAGAACUAAGUUUGUUCUUUCGACAUAAUGCGAACUCCUCAUCCCGAUGAAACGAGAUCAAGAGUUCUUAUAAAUUUUGUACAAUUUUGUGAGAGUGUGUAUCUAGCUUCUUUCAAUUAACAUCUACGAGUCCGUAGAUUUUGGCCUAAAUUCUCAUCUGGCUUGUUGAUAGAUUGCCUGCUGGAGAUACUUUAAGGUUGUCUGAUGAUUUAGAAAUCCCAUGAACCAGAAAUCGAAAUUGUCCUCCGUCUCUAUCUGCACGUACUUCUGUGUUGGUCUUUUCACAUUCUCACUUUCGACGGCUCUCGUUAUUUUUCUCAGUGGGAUCAUCACCUACAUACAUACAUAUAUAUAUACAAGUUAAAUACAAGACGAUUUGUAGUUUUCAUCUGUUGCAUAAAUAAACUUAGCCGAUUGAAAAAUAUUACGUGAUUCGAAAUUUCAGUAUUACCUUGUAAUGUGCUUUCAGACGCUUCCCAUUUGGCGAGGAGAGUUUGAUGGAUUUCUCACUACAGAAAGCAACUCUUUCACUCGAAACAAAGAGAAGCCCAGCUAUUGGUCCAGCUGU